Molecule: small nuclear RNA, 109 nt
Filed under: Marmota marmota marmota (Alpine marmot)
Lineage: Eukaryota; Metazoa; Chordata; Mammalia; Rodentia; Sciuridae
Source: RNAcentral
GUGCUCCCUUUGGCAGCACAUAUAUUAGACUUUGGAAAAUACAGAGAAGAUUAUCAUGGCUACUCCAUAAGGAUAGAAUUUUAAAGGUUGUUAAAGAAAAAAAGUUCUU